RNAcentral lists this long non-coding RNA (1853 nucleotides) under Sus scrofa (pig). RNAcentral's name for it is "lncRNA (ENSSSCG00055003682.1)". The record is from RNAcentral. Lineage: Eukaryota; Metazoa; Chordata; Mammalia; Artiodactyla; Suidae.
UGACUUCGUGAUGAAUUCUUGUGUUGCUGUCCCUGAGAACUGUGUGGCUCUCCUGGAAAAAGGAACUGGUGAAUGUUUGCUUCCCUGACCCAGAAGCCUAAGGGAGAAGUUGAGCUCAAGAUUGUGAUUCUUGAGAGGAGGAAAAACACAUGAGAGUGUUACAUAUAGCAACCUGGAAGUCUCAGUAGGUCUGGUGCCCUGCGUAAAACUCAGUGCUGGUGUUCACAAGCAGAUCACUCACUGGAUCCAGAUUGACACAGGUAUGUGCUUUUAAAGAAAUAUAUAAUAUUGUCCUAUUGCCUUUUGUUUUCCUCACUAAAUAUGAUCCCUUAUUAGCUUCAUGGUAAAAAUACUGUAUUGGGAACAUGUUCAAAUUUAAACAUUGAAGAAGAGUAUGGACAUUUAUCGAAUCCUUGCAUCUGUGUUCCAGGCUCUAAGCAUUUAUUAUCUCAUUGUCUUCUUCUAUCAACUAUGCACUCAGGUAUUACUUCUCAUUUUGUAAGAUGAGAGAACUGAAGCUUAGAUAAGUUCAUGGAUUUAUCCAAGAUGGCAUAACUGAUAAGGAUGUGUAUGAUUUCUAAGUAUCUGCUCUUUGUACUCUGACACUGACAGUAGAGGAAGGGGUUUUUGAAAAAGUGGAAAGAUAAACUAUACCAGCCAGGAUGGAUUUGUAGUUAAAAAUCACUCUGAUUAAAUUAGGAAUGAAUUUGAUACAGGGAAUAAGGAGCUUGCAAAAGCAAUUGGGAGGGCUGGAAUAGCACUCUCUGGUUUAGGAUCCCAAGAAUAUCUCCUAAAAGGAUAAUGUAGAACUGGCCCCCCAGGAGCCACCAUCAGAAAGGUGAGGAACCUUGGAGCAAUAGUUUAAGCUCCAAUGGCACACUUUUUAGGUAUUGAUUUAAGUUAUGGUGCUACAUUUCCAACAUUGGCUUCAGAGUCAUGCUUUGCCUAUUAGAUCUCUCCCUAGGAGACAAAUUAUCCCUCACCUUGCCCCUUGACACCAGGGCCAUCUGCUAGCACUACUCCAGCAAAACUCAGUACUUCCAGGGCUGUGCUUUUCCCAACCUAGUCAAUAGAAAUGGUAAAAUAUUGGUCUUUGCUUCUCUUCCCUUUUCCAAAUAGUUCACAAGUAUACCUGAUGGGUCAGACCUAAAGCACAUCUGGAACCGAAGCUGUAAGGGAGUCCAGCAAAUGUGAUAUUUAACUUUGUAGCCUCUGCAGCACAGAAAGACACACUAAAAGAAGGAUGGAAUGAAUAUUGGGUACCAAUUCACUAUAUUCACUUUCCUGGGGAUAGUAAUGAGAAAGACUCCGUGGGGGAAUAUUCCUCCAGAAACUUGUUUGGAAUAAUGAAUCUAACUAGGACAACAAGGAAAAGCUUCCAGGGGAGAGAUUGAAAAACACUGUUUUCCUGAGAAAUACAGCAUGGAAAACCUCCACGGGGGAUCCCGUGGGCUUUAUUUGCCUAGAAUAAAACCAUACAUAUACAUUUCAAAGUGCAUUUUUCCAUAUAAUUUAUGGCCCCAAAUAUUUUAUUUUUACUAUUUUAAGUCAAAUUUACCUGAUAAUAGUUUAUCUAAUUAAAAUGAAAUAGAAGGAGUUCCCCUUAUGGCUCAGCAGAAAUGAAUCCAACUAGUAUCCAUGAGGAUUCUUUUUCAGUACCUGGCCUCUCUCAGUGGGUUAAUGAUCUGGUGUUGCUGUGAGCUGUGGUAUAGGUCACAGAUGUGUUUCAGAUCUGGCAUUGCUGUGGCUGUGGUGUAGGCUGGCAGCUGUAGUUCUGAUUUGAUCACUAGCUCAGGAAUUUCCAUAUGCUGCAGGUGUGGCCCCCAAAAGCAAAAACAAACAAACCAAAAAAA